GUCGAGCAAGGAUGAAAAUCGGACUUAGUGAUCCGGUGGUUCUGCGUGGAAGGGCCAUCGCUCAACGGAUAAAAGCUACCCUGGGGAUAACAGGCUUAUCUCCCCCAAGAGUCCACAUCGACGGGGAGGUUUGGCACCUCGAUGUCGGCUCAUCACAUCCUGGGGCUGUAGUAGGUCCCAAGGGUUGGGCUGUUCGCCCAUUAAAGUGGUACGCGAGCUGGGUUCAGAACGUCGUGAGACAGUUCGGUCCCUAUCCGUCGCAGGCGUAGGAAAUUUGAGAAGACCUGUCCGUAGUACGAGAGGACCGGGAUGGACGUACCUCUGGUGUACCAGUUGUCCUGCCAAGGGCAUGGCUGGGUAGCUAUGUACGGAAUGGAUAAGCGCUGAAAGCAUCUAAGCGCGAAGCCAACUUCAAGAUAAGAUUUCCCACCGCAAGGGUAAGACCCCAGAAAGACUAUCUGGUUGAUAGGUCGAAGGUGUAAGUGCAGCAAUGUA
RNAcentral lists this ribosomal RNA (495 nucleotides) under Clostridioides difficile. Its description in RNAcentral is "partial 23S ribosomal RNA". It matches the Rfam family "Bacterial large subunit ribosomal RNA", at positions 2388 to 2885 of the family's 2925-position model. Lineage: Bacteria; Bacillati; Bacillota; Clostridia; Peptostreptococcales; Peptostreptococcaceae. The record is from RNAcentral.